CGCACCUUGCGCCCUCUGGUACUCCGGAGGGCAUGCCUGUUUGAGUGUCAUGAACACCUCACCCCCUCGGGUUUCCGAUCGGGUGGAUUUGGGCGCUGCCAGUCACAUGGCUCGCCUUAAAAGCAUUAGCGGUUGUCGACGUAAUAAGUUUCGUCCUGUCGACCGCUCCUAAUCUCCUUCGGGAUGUCUCUCGGGACACAUUCAUGAUCUGACCUCAAAUCAGGUAGGACUACCCGCUGAACUUAA
Molecule: unclassified non-coding RNA, 246 nt
Filed under: Vishniacozyma dimennae
Lineage: Eukaryota; Fungi; Basidiomycota; Tremellomycetes; Tremellales; Bulleribasidiaceae
Description: partial contains 5.8S ribosomal RNA, internal transcribed spacer 2, and large subunit ribosomal RNA
Source: RNAcentral